This 354-nucleotide long non-coding RNA is filed under the name Prunus persica (peach). RNAcentral describes it as "long non-coding RNA (PPER_LNC003677)". The record is from RNAcentral. Lineage: Eukaryota; Viridiplantae; Streptophyta; Magnoliopsida; Rosales; Rosaceae.
UGAUAAUGAAAGUAAGGAAAUCAAUUAAUUAUAAAAUCAUCCACAACAUUGAAUAUUCAUAAUGAGGGCUUCAUCCUAAGCCCAACUAAAUGGAUUAGUUAGACAUAACUAUGAAUACAGAAAAUAAGAAAUACAUAGAUAGAAAAAAGAGAAGAGAAGAACUAGCUGGUGGCAGCAAGGUAGUUCCCAUGACAGCUCUAAGCUCUCCCUCCUUUUCAACUAGCUCUCUUUUCUCUUUGUGGUGAAUUUGAAUGCAUGAGUAAUGGAUGAAAUGAAUCUGUCUCUGUCUCUAUCUCUCUCCUUCUUGAAUGAAUGUGCAGCUCUCCAUUUAUAGAGUGCCAAUUUCGUCCUCCC